Molecule: transfer-messenger RNA, 367 nt
Filed under: Georgenia muralis
Lineage: Bacteria; Bacillati; Actinomycetota; Actinomycetes; Allobogoriellales; Allobogoriellaceae
Description: Standard tmRNA
Rfam family: transfer-messenger RNA
About the family: Bacterial tmRNA, also known as 10Sa RNA or SsrA, is named for its dual tRNA and mRNA-like properties. Its role is to liberate the mRNA from a stalled ribosome. To accomplish this part of the tmRNA is used as a reading frame that ends in a translation stop signal.
Source: Rfam by way of RNAcentral
GGGGAUGAUCGGUUUCGACGAUGGUCGUCGUUCCAGGAGAAGCGGGUCGAGGAUGCAGAGUCAUCUCGUCAACGAUCUCUGCAAACCAAUAGGUGCCGAUUCCAAGCGCACCGAGUUCGCCCUCGCCGCCUGAGCGAGUAGCGACUCCGUCAGCCCGGGCUAGCUCUCGUCCCGGUUCCUGGCGUCAUCUAGAGAGCCACUGCUCGUAGUCCUCGUCAUCGGGGCUGCGGGAACACUGAGAUGACUGGGCCUGUCAGCGACUUGUCUGCGAGAUCGCUGGGGCCGAGAAAAUCGUCAGCAGACUGCACCCGGAGAAGCCCUGGUUCCACGCCGUCGGACGCGGGUUCGAUUCCCGCCAUCUCCACCC